AGAAUCAACGCUGGCGGCGCGCUUAACACAUGAAAGUCGAACGAGAAAGGGGAGCAAUCCCUGAGUAAAGUGGCGUACUGGUGAGUAACACGUGGAUAUCUACCUCUUGGUGGGGAAUAACCUGGGGAAACCUGGGCUAAUACCGCAUAAGUUCGUGAGAAGAAAGGCGCAAGCCGCCGAGAGAGGAGUCCGCGGUCGAUUAGGUAGUUGGCGGGGUAAGAGCCCACAAGCCAAAGAUCGAUAG
Molecule: ribosomal RNA, 244 nt
Filed under: uncultured soil bacterium
Lineage: Bacteria
Description: partial 16S ribosomal RNA
Rfam family: Bacterial small subunit ribosomal RNA
Source: RNAcentral